GAUGAACGCUGGCGGCGUGCCUAACACAUGCAAGUCGAACGGAAAGGCCCUGCUUGCAGUGUGCUCGAGUGGCCAACGGGUGAGUAACACGUGCGUGAUCUGCCCCCUUUUUUGAGAUAAGCCUGGGAAAGUGGGUGUAACACUGGACAGGACCUAGCUGUAGGUGGAUUGGUGGAAAGAUAAGUUUCGGUAUGGGAUGAUCUAGAGACGUAUCAGCUUGUUGGUGGGGUAAUGGUCUACUAAGGCGUCGACGGGUCGCCGGCCAGAGAGGGUGGAAGGCCCGAUUGGGACUGAGACACGGCGCAGACGCCGACGAGAGGCAGCAAUGGGGAAUAGUGUGCAAUGGGAGCAAGGCUGAUGCAGUGACGCCGCGUGGGGGGUGACGGCCUGCUGGUUGUAAAGACCUAUCGUCCAAGAAGAAGCGCAUGUGGUGACGGUAGUGGUAGAAGAAGCCCCGGCUAACUACGUG
RNAcentral lists this ribosomal RNA (469 nucleotides) under uncultured bacterium. RNAcentral describes it as "partial 16S ribosomal RNA". It matches the Rfam family "Bacterial small subunit ribosomal RNA", at positions 28 to 507 of the family's 1533-position model. The record is from RNAcentral.